GACGAACGCUGGCGGCGUGCUUAACACAUGCAAGUCGAACGGGCCUGUCUUCUUUUUUGGGGGUGGGUUGAGUGGCGAACGGGUGAGUAUCACGUGAGUAACCUGCCCUUCGGUCCUGGAUAACCGCUUGAAAGGGCGGCUAAUACGGGGUGGUCCGGUUGGUCCGCAUGGGCUGGUCGGGAUAGAUUCACUGUUUUUGGUGUUUCGGCGGGGGAUGGGCUCGCGGCCUAUCAGCUUGUUGGUGGGGUGAUGGCCUACCAAGGCGGUGACGGGUAGCCGGCCUGAGAGGGUGGGCGGCCACACUGGGACUGAGAUACGGCCCAGACUCCUGCGGGAGGCAGCAGUGGGGGGUAUUGCACAAUGGGCGGAAGCCUGAUGCAGCGACGUCGCGUGAGGGAUGGAGGCCUUCGGGUUGUGAACCUCUGUUUCCGGUGGCGAAGGCCCUGUCCGUGUGGUGGGGUUGACGGUAGCCGGGGAUGAAGCGCCGGCUAACUACGUG
RNAcentral lists this ribosomal RNA (499 nucleotides) under uncultured bacterium. RNAcentral describes it as "partial 16S ribosomal RNA". It matches the Rfam family "Bacterial small subunit ribosomal RNA", at positions 28 to 507 of the family's 1533-position model. The record is from RNAcentral.